Molecule: non-coding RNA, 2804 nt
Organism: Schizosaccharomyces pombe (fission yeast)
Lineage: Eukaryota; Fungi; Ascomycota; Schizosaccharomycetes; Schizosaccharomycetales; Schizosaccharomycetaceae
Source: the annotation of a GenBank genome assembly
GAAAGAAGCUUCAUUUGUUCAAUGCCGAAAAAUUACGCUUGAUCAUCCGACAUUUAUCAGUGAGAAACACCAAUAAACAUAUUGUUUAUGGGAAAAUAUGCAAACUGGGGAUAAGCACUAUUAACCAUUAUGGCCAGUCACUCAUAUUCGCCUACGCAUAUGAGCAGAAACGAGGUUGAGGGUGGUAUAAUGUGAAAGUUUUGUCAGAGAAAGAUCAACAAUAGAAACUGAUAAAAUUCUCAGAGAUCUAUCAGUGCUUUGGAAAAUUAUACUCGGAUUCAAAUGACUUGGAGAACCCCCUUAAGAUCUACAUUCGCAUUUCACAUUGAAGACGAACAAACAGUGGAAAACAAUGUCUUUGUAUGAUGCUUACAAGUUACAAGGCGGCAUUGAAUCGUGUAUUUAGCGAAAGAAAAGGCGGGAGUUGGUGUUCCGCAUUUGAAAAAGGUGCAACAAAGAAAGAGUGCAAUAAGAGAGGUAUCGACGAGUACAUAACCAAAGUGUGGCAAAGUGCGAGUAUUUACCGAUUCAAAUAAUUAUAGAAGACACAAGGUAGAUGACGAGGGAGUGUGUUCCUCUUGCAAGUUUCACGUGAGCUACGAUGCUGAAGUAGUCAAAGAAUUAAGAAGGAAUGCCGAAUGUUGGAUUCGUACGAAAUAAAAAUAUAUCUAACAUGCGAAACGAGUUUAGUGUAGCGAAGGAAAAUAGCAAGGAAGAAAAUUUAAGGUAACAUAGGCGAGAGAUAGCUUUACCGAAUUAGAGGGAUACGGGGAGACCUUAAAACGAUAGCAAAUGUGUUUUGAAGUUGCUAAUGGAAGAAAAUAUAUGCGAGAUGGCGAAAAGCAGAGUAUCAAAUUUGAAUAAGGGAUAUUGGCGAAAAUCAAAUAUCAGUAGGCAAGUAUGAUUAUGAGUCCAUGCUGAUAAUGCAUGCCAAUGAUACACAGAUAAAGAGCAUGCAAUAUUAUUUAUUUAUUUAUCAGUUUGUUUGUUUAAACAUGGAAAUAUGGAUAUUGUUAAGGAUCAUAGUGCACCAGUAACACAUUUCACGAUAGCUUGGCCGUUAUCGUAACUGAGCUGUUAAAGCCAUGUUAGAAGGUGCAGUAGAAUAUGGGGAAAUAGAGCGAAAUUCAAAUGGGAUAUAGUAGUGUCUAUAGUGAAAUGGUAUAUUUUGAACUGGAAACCCCUCCCCCCACUUGAUCCUAUUUGGACCCACUUGGAGCCAAAAAAUAGUGUAUCAACGGUUUGCACUCAGGAGGAAGAUCACCGUAUUCUUGCUACCCCACAAAGGGAUGAACACCCCACAUGGAAAACUCAAUACUCAGAUGGUAGAACUGAGAAUAUAUUUCAAGAGCUAGUACGAGAAUACUGCCCCCCGGGAGUAUGAUGCCCCCACCAAAGGUUUUGGCAUCCCACAUCAAGGAUAUUAAAAGAUUGACUAGUGGGAUAAGAAAGGCGAGAGUAACCCCACGUUGCUCUAUGUGGUGGUCUCUCGUGACAAGUCGUCUGGAGAGACGGAUGCGCAAUUAAAAAGGGUUGACAAGGGGAAAUUGGAGAGUUCACGAGCUAUCCAUGGGAUUGUGGUAUAUUGUGAAUUUAUCUAGGUGUCUGAGUUUUCCGUGGACAAUGCAUCUGUGGAUUGCAUAUUCAAUAUCAGUACCUAUCUGUGAAUUGCAUGCAUCUUGAAAUGCACUGGAUGUCUAUCACCAAGAAAUACAUCGCAGUGUAAGAUUGCUUGCCACUGAUGGACCACCAUAUUUUGAGUAUUGCAUUUGUUUUUCUUUUUUCUUUUUUUUUUUUUUUUUUUUAAAAUAAUUUGCGCCGUUUUCUCGCUCAUUACCAGUUUUAUCGAAUUGCUCUCCAGCAAAUCGGCUAUUCAUUUAAUUGUAUUUCAUCCAUUCGCUCCUCCUUGAAUCUCCUCCAACUUCAAACUAACCAUCCCCUGAAUUCCUCCACUUCAAGGAAAUAGCACAUUCUAACGUGAACGCAAUCCAACAACGACUAAUGGUGUAAUAAUUUGCAACCUAAUAUAUUUUUUUUGUACGUCAAUUUAAGACACAUUCAUCGUCAACAGCGAAAUAUAUAAAAUGAAGUUGCAACGCUCAACCGGAAAAGUGCAUCCGGCAGCAUUAGAGUAUGUGGUAUAAAGUGUACUAUUUUUAAGGUUGUGCGUGGGAUUUCAAGGUAGGCUUAGAUACUACUGAACUGGAAAAAAAAAAUAUGUCCCUAAAUGUACCAAGGCAACGUUAUUUGAGCUUGUUGCCAUCAUAGUUACAAAAUGACCAUCACUCUUCUCACCUACAGUUGUGGGCGCCCACUUGAAAAAAAUACGUAUUACACAGAGUAAGGUAAGACAAAACAAGGAAGUUGUAAAAAGUGCGUUUCGUUCUUAGUUGCAUAAUAAUUCAUGAAAUUUGUAAUUCUUUUUAUAGAUAGUAGAUAGGAAUACAACACUAAAAAACAGUACACUUGUCCGGAUAAGUUGUCGCGUAUAUAUCAUUACAUUGUAUGGUUGCUGUUGAUUUAAUUUGGAUGGUACGAAGUUUGCCGGCAAGUUGAUACUGAGCAGCGCCAUUUGAGAUUGUAUCGUAAUCAGAUUGGUGGCUGAAGCAACAGUAGAAAAAAGAAUGGUUUGAUUUCGCAGUUGAAGAGAAAAUGUCAUUUUGUUGAGAAAAAGCCCCGCUUCAAAAGUGGACUCGGCUCUAGAGCAAAAAGUUAAUCGGCAAGUUUAUUCGAGUAGAAUAGGAAGAAGUAGUAAGAUAGAAUAGAUACUAGAGGAGAAUGGAUAUGACAAUAAAAUGGGUUGG